This is a long non-coding RNA of Myotis myotis, 2702 nucleotides long. RefSeq lists it as uncharacterized. NCBI's taxonomy places the organism in Eukaryota, Metazoa, Chordata, Mammalia, Chiroptera, Vespertilionidae. The record is from RefSeq and is a predicted model, not a curated record. The transcript is spliced from 9 exons.
AUUUUCUUCUAUGGACAGAAUAAAGUUCAUAAGUAAAAAUGAAAACACUACAGCAGAGUUUUUGGCAUUUGGACACAAAAAUAAACGGGGGGUAGGAAAUACCUUCUAUUUCAGUGUAAACCUCAUCUGCACACUGCAUCGUACGUGUUGUUUUGCUGAAUAUGGUAGAUACAUGGCUUUUUCCCCGCUUAAGCCAUUCACCUUCUGUCAUCCAUACCCCCUCCCAAAGUGUCUUCAUGCCCCAGCUUGUGUUUCGUCCUCUUCUUCCUAGGGGUUAAAUUUAUGACAUUUAUGAUAAUUACCUGCAGGGUUGCAUUCAGAUUUGAAUAGGUUUCUGCACACUCUCUAAAGGUUCCUGCAGGGUAGGGUAAACUUACUCUCACAUACAGCUCUGUGAUGUUUUCACUGAUCUGUUUGGCGAUUCCAGGUUUAUUACCCUAAUUAUGCGCUAAUGAGCACACAGCUUUGCAAGGAAAUUUGCAUUACUUGCUUAAGUAGGACAGAUUAUCAGCUUAACCAAGAUAAAACAUCUCGUUGUUUGAGACCCUGGAAUUCACCAAAAGAGAUGCCUAGCAUGUAGAAGGAUGCUGACUGCGACCUUGAAAGCAAUAAGUCCACUGCAAUUUUAAGGCGUUUGCUCGGCAGGGUCCAAUCAUCUUCAGCAUCCCUUUCAAUUCCUGUUUUUGUUUUGUUUUAGCUACCUUUACAUCCAUCUCCUAAUACCAAGACAGAAGAAUGUCUCCUUACAACCACAACAGAAAUGCAGGAGCAAAUUUAACAUCAAGAAAAUAUAGCACAAGUGCAGACUUUUUACAUCAACUGUUAAGCUUGCUUCUCUCCACAAAGUGCAAAUUAUUACAUUUUAAUGUUUUUCCCUCUCGGAACCAGAAAAAUAUAGAGCUGGCCGUUUAUUUUCAUAUCUCUUUCCUUCAUAUUUUCACUUACAGAGAAACAACUUUGGAAUUUGUUGUGGCGUUAAAUAAUCAUCACUUUAAUAAAAAUAGACACUGAGCACACACAUCGACACUGAGGACAACAAAGUACCUCUCGUUGUAAAGAUAAAGGACUACAGGUAAGAAAUAGGGAACCUGGAGCUUUAAUAAGCAUGGAAGGAGAAGACAAUGCCCUCCUAAAACAAAGACUUUCAAUUCACUCACCAAAAAUCCAGAGCAAAACACCAACAACAAAUGCAGUAUACCUUCGGUCUGCCCUGGAGGAAAUGUCUCAAGAAGAGAGAGGGUCCUCAUGAAAACGAAGCAUCCAUAGCAUUGCUUAGAGGCUGACAUAGUGCCCAGCACCCUGUACUCCCCCAAAAAGAAAUUCCUUCACAAAUGCAAGUGGGUUUGCCCCUUUUUUAGGUACUACGGAACUAAAUGCAAUUAGACCAUUUGUCAUCAAGAAGAACAAGUACAUAAGAGCAGAAGAGAACAGACCUGCAGCUGGUGUGACCACAUUAGCAGGAGACUCAGAGAAGCCUUUAAGGUUGACUUGAGCAAGUUCCAAGGGCCAGCAACUGAAGGUGAACUCUGAUUCUUUCCUGGCUUCUUCGCAUUUUUUGGAAUUGAAAUGGAUUAAAUACCAUGAGUAAUUUGGAAGUUCUCUGGAGGCAAAUGAACAUCAGAGAUGCCUUGUUCCACCUGGGCUGCACAUGGGACUAGCGCUCACUCCUCCAGGUGGAUCCACAUUCACCCAACGUGUGUAAUAACAACAACCAGCUUUGCCCCAGGAGGCCAGCUCUGCGUGUUUCUCUCCAAGCAUGACCACUGCCUCUCCCACCCAACAUCCUGCUCUGGGCCUGGCACUGAGCUCAUAUGAUUGACCUGCAUUCUAACAACCAGGAAGCAUGAUGCCCAGAGGGUUCCCAGCCUGUCUGAUCCUGCCCCAAUGCUUGAAAUUGCCAACUGCAGUUAUGCAAUGAGCACAGCGGACAAGUCAGAUCAUGGGUCCUUCUCCUCAUUGUAGGGACGAGCAGAUGUCUCCUCCGCAGUGACAGCAGCACUGGGCGCCUUGUGCAGUGGAGGAGGAGGAAUGGUGCAGGCAAGUAAUUCUUACAAUAGGUUGAAAAUCGCCCCUAGGGAGCAUUUUGGAAAACGGAGGAGCUCUUUUGUCAUUGCUAUCACAUGAUGCUCUGAGGUCACACUUUGUACUUAAUGAGUAGCGCCCAGGGAUUCCAGGCAGCUAAAAUGAGUGGCCCGGUUCACUGAAAUGAAGUCGUAUCCUAAGCCAUGGACAGACAUAGAAACUAGUUUAAAGUUAUCUGAGCCUAGAACCUAACUCCUUCGGGCAUAAAAACAGAAAGUAAUUUUGCCCAGUUUACUAUGUACUAUAUUUUCCAUAGUGUACUGCGGCAUUAAUUGUAAGAAAACCAUACUUUGCUUCACUCACAAGUUUAUUGAGAUUUGGUCACUGUUUCAGAAUAUCCUCAGCAGAGCACUCGUGGAGUUUAAGUCCCCAGUUCAGCAUUCAUGACAGUCACAUGUAGGUACUUCUGCGUAUAGAUUUAACCAUCAGACCAAUCCAGUAUGUCUUUCCCUAUAGUUAUGACAAAACAUUCAUUUUCAUUGUGAAUUACAUAAAGAGCAAAUUACUUUUGCUUUUUCUCUUUUUAUUCCAACCGUAAUAAAUUGGAAUUAAUAUUGAUUUUUUGAAGUUAUGCAAGGAGAGUCAUAUUAUCUAUGAUUUUUCUUUCAGAAUAGUAAAAG